UGUGCAUGAUGCAAAAAUGGAACAACGUAGAACUAGUGUACGGGUGAUUAAUGGUUGCCAUGGACUUCGUGGGGCAAGGAGUCGGUUUCCACACUCUCUGAACUAAUCUAAAUCUAAUAUAUCAGCGGUAUCAUCAUGAUCUCAAAGACCGAGUUGGAAUUGUACUUAGCCAUGUAGUCAUGGAUGUACAGGGAACAGAGAAAGGGACUGAGCGCUCUACCCAGAGGUGUACCAGUGUUGAGGGUCAGAGUAGAGGAAAUAUGACCGAUCCUAACCACAGCGGUCUGUCCGUCAAGAAAACCGGAAGCCAGCUGCAAAUGGCAGCUCCAAAGAAAAGGGUCAGAAGAUGAGGGAUGAAUUUAUUUUGUAUUUUGGUGGUGACGAUAGAGUUGCUGUCGAUGAAUAGCAUCCUGGCAUGGAUGUUCUUAUUGUUAAGGUAAUCCUGAUCCGAGUGUAGUGCAAGAGGCAUGGCAUCGCUUGUAGACGUACAUUUCCGGAACACAAAUUGGUCUGGAAGAAUGGCACAAAUGAAUCUAAUCUUUCGAAGCACCGCUCGCUGGUUAGUGUUAGAGCUACUGGGAACGAUGAUGAAACACUCCAGACCAACAUAAACUUGAUUUUAAAUCUUGAUUUUUUCAGAAUAAGUCUUUUGGAAACUUGAAACACGAGCAGUUCCCAGAAUAUCAUAUUCAAAUUUUAGUCUGGUAUCUGAUGAAAGGCGGGCAUUUAUGAAGCAGUUUCUUUUCUGUAGUUAUAGAUGGGUGGCCUCUUAACAAAUGUGAACAAAGACACAUGGUACCGAAUGUCCACAUAUAGAAAACUGAUACAUUCAUGACUUACAGAAAAAUAUUAGGCAAUAAGUUCAUGACUUGCAGAAAAAUAUU
Molecule: long non-coding RNA, 884 nt
Organism: Amblyraja radiata (thorny skate)
Lineage: Eukaryota; Metazoa; Chordata; Chondrichthyes; Rajiformes; Rajidae
Exons: 3
Source: RefSeq, a predicted model, not a curated record